UACCAGCACCCCGAGUGGUCGGGACGAUUAUUGGGCCUAAAGCACCCGUAGCCGGUUUUACAAGUCCUCCGUUAAAUCCAACUGCUUAACAGAUGGGCCGCGGAGGAUACUAUAAGACUAGGGGGCAGGAGAGGCAAGCGGUACUCAGUGGGUAGGGGUAAAAUCCGUUGAUCCAUUGAAGACCACCAGUGGCGAAGGCGGCUUGCCAGAAUGCGCUCGACGGUGAGGGAUGAAAGCUGGGGGAGCAAACCGG
Molecule: ribosomal RNA, 253 nt
Filed under: uncultured bacterium
Lineage: Bacteria
Description: partial 16S ribosomal RNA
Rfam family: Archaeal small subunit ribosomal RNA
Source: RNAcentral